RNAcentral lists this ribosomal RNA (253 nucleotides) under uncultured bacterium. RNAcentral's name for it is "partial 16S ribosomal RNA". It matches the Rfam family "Bacterial small subunit ribosomal RNA", at positions 524 to 776 of the family's 1533-position model. The record is from RNAcentral.
GACAGAGGGUGCAAACGUUGUUCGGAAUUACUGGGCGUAAAGCGAGUGUAGGCGGUUUGGGAAGUCGGAUGUGAAAGCCCCGGGCUCAACCCGGGAAGUGCACUCGAUACUGCCAGGCUAGAGUAUCGGAGAGGUUGGUGGAAUUCUCGGUGUAGAGGUGAAAUUCGUAGAUAUCGAGAGGAACACCGGUGGCGAAGGCGGCCAACUGGACGAAUACUGACGCUGAGACUCGAAAGCGUGGGGAGCAAACAGG